GAUCAGCCAAAAACACAUUAUAAUAAAUAAUAAUUUUAUUUUAAUUUUCUAUGUGUUGGAUAUCUUCUGUUUAUCAUUCUAGAUCUAUACCAUCCUCUUCUACCUUACUUCUUGCCUGGAGGCUGACCUGUAUGGACUAUAUCAGCAUGCUUGCCUUCUUGCGUCCAGCUGGAUUUUACCAAUGAGUACCUCUUGGCAGGAGAUUAGAGGAAGAGAAGAGAUGGCUAUUUAUUCUCCCAGCUCCUUCCCUGAAAAAUUACAUCCCCUUUCAAGAGGGAAAAACAGCUGCUAUGUGAGGAAGUUCACUUAUUGUCCUUGAGAGAGUGGCCACAUGGAGAGAAAAAACCUCUGAUGCAUGAGACACUAUGGAGGGAUGUAGAAAGAAGCCCAGCCAGCCCCUGAACUACAGGAGUUUUCUUGCACAAGCUCUCCUCUCUUGUCUGCUGCCAUGUGAGAUGUGCCUUUCACCUUCUACCAGGAUUGUGAGGCCACCCCAGCCACGUGGAACGGUAAGUCCAUUGAACUUCUUUCUUUUGUUGCAAAUUGCCCAGUCUUGGGUAUGUCUUUAUCAGCAGCAUGAAAAUGGACUAAUUGGUACCAGUAGAGUGGGGUGCUGUUGAAAAGAUACCCAAAAAUGUGGAAGUGACUUUGGAACUGGGUAACAGGCAGAGGCUGGAACAGUUUGGAGGGCUCAGAAGAAGACAGGAAAAUGUGAGAAAGUUUGGAAGUUCCUAGAGACUUGUUGAAUGGCUUUGCCAAAAAUGCUGAUAGCAAUAUGGACAGGCUGAAGUGGUCUCAGAUGGAAAUGAGGAACUUGUUAGGAACGAGAGCAAAGGUGACUCUUGUUAUGUUUUAGCAAAGAGACUGGUGGCAUUUUGCCCCUGCCCUAGAGAGUUGUGAAACUUUGAACUUGAGAGAGAUGAUUUAGGGUAUCUGGCAGAAGAAAUUUCUAAGCAGCAAAGCAUUUAAAAGGUGACUUGUGUGCUGUUGAAGGCAUUCAGUUUUAUAAGGGAAGCAGCGCAUAAAAGUUCAGAAAAUUUGUAGCCUGACAAUUCGAUAGACAAGAAAACCCCAUUUUCUGAGGAGAAAUUCAAGCUGGCUGCAGAAAUUUGCAUAACUAACUAGGAGCCAAAUGUUAAUCCCCAAGACAAUGGGGAAAAUGUCUCCAAUGUGUCAAAGGUCUUCAUGGCAGCCCCUCCCAUCACAGACAUGGAGGCCUAGGAGGAAUAAGUGGUUUCGUGGGCAGGUCCCAAGGUACCUGUGCUGUGUCCAGCCUAGGCUGUGGCUUCAGAGGGUGCAAGCCUCAAGCCCUGGCAGCUUCCAUGUGGUGUUGAGCCUGCCAGUGCAAAGAAGUCAAGAAUUGGGGUUUGGGAGCCUCCGCCUGGAUUCCAGAGGAUGUAUGGAAACACCUGGAUGUCCAGGCAGAAGUUUGCUGCAGGGGCAGGGAUCUCAUGGGGAACUUCUUCUAGGGCAGUGCAGGAGGGAAAUGUGUGGUUGGAGCCCCCACACAGAGUUCCUACUGGGGCAACACCUAGUUGGGCUGUGAGAAGAAAGCCACCAUCCUCCAGACCCCAGAAUGAUAGAUCCAUCGAUCACUUGUACCGUGCACCUGGAAAAGCCACAGACACUCAAUGCCUGCCACGACAGCAGCCAGGAGAGGGGUUAUACCUUGCAAAGCCACAGAGGCUGAGCUGCCCAAGACCAUGGGAAACUACUUCUUUCAUCAGUGUGACCUGGAUGUGAGAUUUGAAGUCAAAGAAGAUCAUUUUGGAGCUUUAAGAUUUGACUGACCCACUGGAUUUUGGACAUGCAUGGGGCCUAUAGCCCCUUUGUUUUGACCAAUUUCUCUCAUUUGGAAUGGCAGUAUUUACCUAAUGCCUAUACCCCCAUUGUAUCUAGGAAGUAACUAACUUGCUUUUGAUUUUACAGGCUCAUAGGUGGAAGGGACUUGCUUUAUCUUAGAUGAAACUUUGGACUAUGGACUUUUGAGUUAAUGCUGAAAUGAGUUAAGACUUUGGGGGACUGUUGGGAAGGCAUGAUUGGUUUUGAAAUGUGAGGACAUGAGAUUUGGGAGGGGCCAGGGGCAGAAUGUUAUGGUUUGGCUGUGUCCCUACCAAAAUUUCAUCUUGAAUUGUAACUCCCAUAAUUCCCAUGUCUCGUGGGAGGAACCUGGUGGGAGGUAAUUGAGUUAUGAGGGCGGGCCUUUCUUGUGCUGUUCUCGUGAUAGUGAAUAAGUCUCAUGAGAUCUGAUGGUUUUAAAAAUGGGAGUUUCCCUGCACAAGCUCUCUUCUCUUGUCUGCCACCAUGUGAAUCGUGCCUUUCACCUUCCACCAUGAUUGUGAGGCCUCCCCAGCCACAUGGAACUGUAAGUCCAUUAAACCUCUUUUUUUGAUUACAAAUUGCCCAGUCUUGAGUGUGUCUUUAUAGCUGCAUGAAAACAGACUAAUACAGCCU
Gorilla gorilla gorilla (western lowland gorilla) is the source of this 2454-nucleotide long non-coding RNA. RefSeq lists it as uncharacterized. The transcript is spliced from 3 exons. NCBI's taxonomy places the organism in Eukaryota, Metazoa, Chordata, Mammalia, Primates, Hominidae. The record is from RefSeq and is a predicted model, not a curated record.